Long non-coding RNA from Malaya genurostris, 1302 nucleotides. RefSeq lists it as uncharacterized. The transcript has 2 exons. Lineage: Eukaryota; Metazoa; Arthropoda; Insecta; Diptera; Culicidae. The record is from RefSeq and is a predicted model, not a curated record.
GAUUAUUCAGUAGACGCCCGGCAAGUGCCACCGAGAGUAAACACUCAAGCGGACAGUUGCGCAUUGUUCGGUCCUCACUUACCGCUUACCGAGCUUACAGGUCGUGAAUCAUUUCCGUAAAUCACCGCGUUGCUAGUUCCGUGUUUGACGGGGGGUGACCCUUUCGAAUGGAUUGAAAGUUUAGCGUGUCGGUCAUUACGAUUAAUGCAUAGUAUUGACACGAGACGAAUUUGAAUAAUUUCCGUGGUUGCGUUCGGACGCACGGCUUUUUGCAUUGUCGCCACUGAGCUGAAGGGCUUCAGUCAGAAUGGGACACUAUUGCGUACUGGUAGGGUUUGUGUUGAUUUGUCUGCUGUUGGGAAACUUUGUGCUGAUGACGGAACGAGAACGAAUCGUUCGAGCCGCGCAGUUAGACGGGAUUAGCUACAAUCAUCGCAGCAGUGUUUCUUUGACAGAUUUCAUGGUACUACCAGAUUGUUAGCUCAAUCACAUUCGAGUGAUCAGUAAAGCGCGUUUCUGCCAUAGGCGACGAUGACGACUGUGGAUGCUGACUCUUUUGAUUUACACCUCGAGAAACAUUCGAUGGCCGAAUCAAUUAACCGAUAAAAUAGAGAAAUUAUGACUGAAUAUUUAGUUUUAUACUUAUUCGAAUCGGAUAAACAGGGUAAAAAAUGAUGGUUCGAAAAUAUUCAUUUUUUUAAGCUUGAUAUUUAGUUGUACGCAGAUUGAGAUUAUUCUAGUGAUUUGGAGAGCCAUUAAAUAGCUUUUAGUUAAUAAUUGGAAAUACAUACUACAUAAUUGGAAAGUUUACAUAACAAAUCGAUAGUGAGCGUUAACUGCUAGUAGAAUCAAUAGAAAAUGAAACAUCUGAAAUAUUUGCUGGCUCGUAAGACUAUAUUUUAUUUUAAAACUAUGUUUUGAAUAUACGUCAAAAUCAUUAAUUGUGCGAUGAACGAAAAAAAAUGACAGUCAUUUAAUUUGUUUUAAUAGAAAACCAUAUAAAACAAUGAUUAGCUCUUAAGGGCUGUGGCCAGUAGGUCGCGUAAAACCACGUGCCUCGCUCUGCGUAUAGCAUUUCUCUUACUGCUCUCUCGCAUAUGUGCAGAAUGACUCUCGAUGGAACGGGUGGCCAAGAAACUUUUGAUAUUUUCGAUUACAAGUUUGACUACUUCACAUACAAUCCAAUAAAGCUACCGCUUGUUUGGCAGCCUUGCUGAGUCGAUUUUAUUUAUCUCUCAUUUUUCGUUACGUCACCAGGAAACUGGAGCAAAAAAAAUGGCGCAUGCAUAGAAAUCGACUUAC